GGACGGGUGAGUAACACGUAGGCAACCUACCCUCUAGACUGGGAUAACUACCGGAAACGGUAGCUAAUACCGGAUAAUUCCCUGACCCACCUGGGCUAGGGAUGAAAGGCGGAGCAAUCUGCUGCUAGAGGAUGGGCCUGCGGCGCAUUAGCUAGUUGGUGGGGUAACGGCCUACCAAGGCGACGAUGCGUAGCCGACCUGAGAGGGUGAACGGCCACACUGGGACUGAGACACGGCCCAGACUCCUACGGGAGGCAGCAGUAGGGAAUCUUCCGCAAUGGGCGAAAGCCUGACGGAGCAACGCCGCGUGAGUGAUGAAGGUUUUCGGAUCGUAAAGCUCUGUUGCCAGGGAAGAACGUCCGGUAGAGUAACUGCUACCGGAGUGACGGUACCUGAGAAGAAAGCCCCGGCUAACUACGUGCCAGCAGCCGCGGUAAUACGUAGGGGGCAAGCGUUGUCCGGAAUUAUUGGGCGUAAAGCGCGCGCAGGCGGCUAUUUAAGUCUGGUGUUUAAACCUUGGGCUCAACCUGGGGUCGCACUGGAAACUGGGUGGCUUGAGUACAGAAGAGGAAAGUGGAAUUCCACGUGUAGCGGUGAAAUGCGUAGAGAUGUGGAGGAACACCAGUGGCGAAGGCGACUUUCUGGGCUGUAACUGACGCUGAGGCGCGAAAGCGUGGGGAGCAAACAGGAUUAGAUACCC
RNAcentral lists this ribosomal RNA (700 nucleotides) under Paenibacillus sp. RNAcentral describes it as "bacterial SSU rRNA". It matches the Rfam family "Bacterial small subunit ribosomal RNA", at positions 100 to 787 of the family's 1533-position model. Lineage: Bacteria; Bacillati; Bacillota; Bacilli; Caryophanales; Paenibacillaceae. The record is from RNAcentral.